Long non-coding RNA from Clupea harengus (Atlantic herring), 1201 nucleotides. NCBI's taxonomy places the organism in Eukaryota, Metazoa, Chordata, Actinopteri, Clupeiformes, Clupeidae. The record is from Ensembl.
UACCACAGACCACACCUGUGUGUGUGUGCAUGUGUGUGUCUGUUUCUGUGUGUACUCAGGAACUGAGGGUGUGAAUAAACAUUUCCUUUGACUCAGUGAGAUGAGCAUGGCUGAAGGUCUCAGGGUCUCUCCUGCAGACAUGAACAGCACAGAGAACCAGGAUGAAGGACCGCCCAAGCUGCACCAGAGGACGAGACACACACCCAAGCUGCACCAGAGGACGAGACACACACCCAAGCGGAGUUGGUGAGGAGAGUGAACAAGAAACAAGAAAGAGGUCACAGCUACCAGGAGAAAAUUAACCCUCUAUACGACACAACACACAUAGUCUGGAACACAAACCCUAAGCCCAACCAUAACCCUGACCUUCAAUGUUACCCUAUCUCUGAGGCAUAGACAGCAACACCGCAGCCGAGACACGCACUUGAACUGGCUCCAAAUAGCUUGACUUGGCUCUUUGGAGGUUUCUUUCUAUGACAAAGAUUUUAUUUUAUGUCCUUUUCCCAUCAUGUCAAUCUUUUUUCUCAUAGUGUGAUAAAAUGUCAUCAAACCAACUUCAAGUCCUCUUUUGUCAAUAUCUGUUCUAUCUAUCUAUCUAUCUAUCUAUCUAUCUAUAGCAGGGCUUACAUACCAUUUACUGGCAUGACUGAAAACCUGAGCUCAUGGGCAGAUAUUCCAUUUCACUGUUGGGGGGGACAAUAAACAGAAAAAUCUCUCAAGAGCAAUUCCUGAGAGGGAAACAAAAUAUGCCGUCAAAAGUGCUCUUGUACUUGUAUUAAAUGCAUAGAGGAAAACCGUAUCACUGUUAUGUAUACUAGGUAAUUGAUUGGUUAAUAACUUAAGGGUUAGCAUGUUUGAAUGUUUUACAUACAUUAUGAAGUCAUUAUAUGUUUAACUGAACUAAUCUUCAGUAGCUUUACAAGAAGUCUUCUUCAGUAGUUUUACAAGAACAUAACACUCAAAAUAAGUACAGUUCUAAAAGCAGCAGAAAUACAGUACUUAAAUGAGUAACCUAACUAAAUCAACCAAAAUAUUCUUAAAAAAAUAUACGAUACCAUACCAUUUACGAUAAGAAUCCCCUUUCCAGAUGUGUCCAUUUCAGUUUAAAAUCCAACAGGGGGCAGUGUUUUACACGCGACGAAGUGUGACAGAUAACUGGCCAUUUAUUUUGUACGAUAUACUAGAACGGACAUAGGAGGCC